RNAcentral lists this small RNA (349 nucleotides) under Bos taurus (domestic cattle). Lineage: Eukaryota; Metazoa; Chordata; Mammalia; Artiodactyla; Bovidae. The record is from RNAcentral.
UCUUCUCCGAGGUUGUUUGGAAUAGUUAUCUCAUAAAUGGCUGGGGCAAGGAAAUGUGGAGAUCAGCCAAAGGCUGAUAGGAUGAUAUGGGAGAAGGAACAAUACAAAUCCCAUUUAGAGAAAGCAAAUGAACAGUAUAUACUUUAGUGCUUUUUCAGUUUUAUUAUUUUAUGUCCAUUAUUGGGAAGAAAGCUAAGAGUUUAAACAGCAGGUUUUAUUCAUUGAAAAUAUAUAUAAAUAUAUGUUUCAUACUUGACAGUAUAGAUGCAGCCUACUCAGAAAUCACGAUCACUAUCAUAACAUGACUGAUAUAUUCAAAGAUUACACCAAAGUCAUGUUAUGAUAGUGA